RNAcentral lists this transfer RNA (71 nucleotides) under Candidatus Spechtbacteria bacterium RIFCSPLOWO2_01_FULL_46_10. RNAcentral's name for it is "tRNA-Ala". It matches the Rfam family "tRNA". From Rfam's summary of the family: Transfer RNA (tRNA) molecules are approximately 80 nucleotides in length. Lineage: Bacteria; Candidatus Spechtiibacteriota. The record is from RNAcentral.
GGGCCUGUAGCUUAAUGGUAGAGCACCCGCCUUGCACGCGGGAGACCGGAGUUCGACUCUCCGUAGGUCCA